UAGCUAUAUUGGAGAGAGUGUCG
RNAcentral lists this non-coding RNA (23 nucleotides) under Arabidopsis thaliana (thale cress). The record is from RNAcentral. Lineage: Eukaryota; Viridiplantae; Streptophyta; Magnoliopsida; Brassicales; Brassicaceae.